UCAUCUUGACCUGUCUGGCACCCUGUCAAUAUCUAUCGGUGACGGACGCGCCCGAAAGUUCAAGAGAGA
Strigomonas culicis is the source of this 69-nucleotide small nucleolar RNA. It matches the Rfam family "Trypanosomatid snoRNA TB11Cs4H1". The record is from Rfam. NCBI's taxonomy places the organism in Eukaryota, Euglenozoa, Kinetoplastea, Trypanosomatida, Trypanosomatidae.